UGGCGCCCUGCGGCAAGGGGAAAACAGAAGGGUCCUGAACCGUCACACUGCGGCCAUACCCUUCCCCCUCGGCCAGUGUGGGGUAGGAAAGAGGACUAGGAAGGGAAGGAGGUUUGGGGAUUAUCCGACGUGCAGGGGCCACCCGCACCACUGACCCCGUAAACGGCUGGAGCUCUGGCCCGACUAACUGGUUCCGAGCUUGGGGGUAAGGCGUCCUCGGCCUAACCCGGGCGGCCUUCCUGGAGGAAGGGGAGAACCGCGUUUUCCCGGGCCCACUGGGACUCCGCAGUGCGGGGGGAGGAGCGGCAGGAAGGGGCCAGAGUACCGGCCGCGCGGGUCCCGUUCUGCUGUCCGAAACCGCCGCUUUCCCAGUGCCAGGCGCGGGCUGGGCCCCGGGAACCCGGCCGCAGGAGCUCGUCGGGGGAGAGUUAGGGCCACGGCCGCCUCCGCCCAGCCCCGCACGCGCCCCCCGCCCGAGGCUGCCCGGAGGAGGCCUGGGGCCGCACCGCGCCGGCGGAGAGGCGGGCUCUCGGCAGGUUCUCCGAAACUCCCUAAAACCCAGGCCCGAGGGUCACCCGGGUCUUGUGCCUCACACCCCGAGCAGGUAACAGACUGGCACAAGGAAGCCCCGGGAGCUGAGCGGGAAACUGAGGAAACACAAGCCUUGUUCCCAGCUCCUCGCCUCUGAAAAGAAGGGCUUAAAUAUAGGUCUUAGGCUGCCUGGGGAGGAGGGGGCGGCUGCGGGAAGGUAGACUGGACACAGUCCCUCCAUUUCUUUAUCCCCUGUAUCUUCGCUGCCUCCCAUCCCUCCUCAGGCCCGCUCUGAUCCUUUAAUUCCCGGCUCUAGAUCUCGUUCGCUGUGAAUUUAAUUUAACGACCCCACCCCCGCCCGCCUCCCCAGCCAUUCAGUCAAAAGGCCCCUCUGCGCCCUCUGGCGGCCGCGGCUCCCCUACAGAAAGGCACGCACCUGUUCUUGCCUCUGGGUCCAACAGCCAAAAUCAAGAUGCUUCAAACAUCCGGGGCCAGCUCAACCACCGAGCAAAGGUCGCCCAGGGCAGAACGAAUAACCAGUAACUCCUGGCGCUGUCUGCUCUGGGUGGCAGUUGACUGGGAAGAAAAGCAACCAGGCCUCCUGGAUUCCAUUUAUUCCACACAGUUAUGCUCUUAACAUUGUGUCCUUUGUGCCUGCACUGCACAAGGUCUUUUUCUACACAUUGCCCCACAGACCCUCUCAGCUGCUUCUUCCUAGUGUGACCUGCCUGGCUGCUCUUCAAAUACCUACCAGGCAGUGGCUUUGAGAAAUGCCUACGCAAACGCCAGACUGCUCAUGCAAACCCUGGAAUCUAAUACUUGGCAGCUCAGUGGCAGCAAAGGCAACAGAAAUAGGAAUUCUAUAAAUUCUGCCCAUGGACAUUAUCUUAAGCUAAGGAAGCACAUUUACAGUGCCAGUCCUACUUAUUCCUUGGAGGUUGCCUGAGUACCUCCCUGGGGACCCAGAACAUCUACUGUGUGGCUUGAGGAGCGGUGUGUGGGUCCGCACCCAGGAUGCAAACCCACGAACCCAAACCACCAAAGCGGAGUGCGCAAACUUUACCACUACGCCACUGGCUAGCACCACUAAUUCAGUCUUUAACCCAAUGGGAUCAAAGUCUGCUCUAUUAAUCUGCUGAAACCGUUCAUAUUAUGGUGUUGGCGUACAUCAGUGGGACCCUGUCAAGCAAACCUGGAGCAUCCCUGGUCUACCCCAUGCCCUCCCGGAAUGUGUCACUGCAGCUGCAGGGCCUCCAGGAGAAAGACUCCGGGUCCUACCUCUGUUCUGUGAACGUGCACGACAGUCAAGGCAAAGAGAGGGGCCAUGGCAGCAAAAGUUUAGAACUCAAUGUGCUGGUUCCUCCAGCUCCUCCAUCCUGCCGUCUCCUGGGCGUGCCCCGUGUGGGGACCAACGUGACCCUGAGCUGCCAGUCCCCAAGGAGUAAGCCCGCUGCCCAGUACCAGUGGGAGCGGCCA
Molecule: non-coding RNA, 2007 nt
Organism: Equus caballus (horse)
Lineage: Eukaryota; Metazoa; Chordata; Mammalia; Perissodactyla; Equidae
Source: RefSeq, a predicted model, not a curated record